Long non-coding RNA from Ahaetulla prasina, 1597 nucleotides. RefSeq lists it as uncharacterized. The transcript has 7 exons. Lineage: Eukaryota; Metazoa; Chordata; Lepidosauria; Squamata; Colubridae. The record is from RefSeq and is a predicted model, not a curated record.
CUGCGGUGCCAUUUCUCUCAGAUGCCUGGCUUACUGAGAGACUGAACGCUGUGGGAAUUCACCAUAAUUUGCAGUUGCAAUGCUUGUGCCAAAUUUAUAAAUUGGAAGGUUCAGAAAUGAGCUCCUCUCAUUCAGAAAAGCCAUGCCAAUUACAGUUUGAGUUAAACUUUGCUGGGCAAAGUUUUUCUUCUUUAUUUACCCAUUUGAGGCACACCCUACCUUUCUCUAGAAGCUCAAAGCAAAGUAUGUACCACUUCCUCCCCCAUUAGCCAUUCCCAACAUUUUCUGCUACUCUUCCCCCUUUCAAAAUUAAUCGGGGAGGAGAUUAACUAGCAACAGAGAAAACAGAUUAACUAGCAGCAGAUGAUAGGCGGUUGAUCUUUAAGUUCUUUCUCUGACCUUGGCAGCAAAGAGGAGGUUUAUUCAGUUUUAAUUUUCUGUUUGAAUAUACCAAGCCAGGAGGAAGCAACAGUUAAAAAGACUCAGCAGCAUUUCUAAGAGCACAAUGGAGGAUCCAGAGCCAUCGUGCCAUCAGGAACAGUGAGAAUUUUCUCUGCUUCCAGCUGAUGCUCCUCCUAAAUAGCCCCCAAUCACACUAGGAUCAAGCUUUAAAGGGAAUGCCAUUUCAUCAUAGGCUCAACUGAGACUAGUGGUGCCCAAAGUGCAGGAUGCUUUUUUUCAACCAAGUAAUUCUUCUAAGCUGAAAGGAAGGCUCUUCUACAAAGUGGGAAGGUGGAAGAAAGAAGUCACGAGGGGGAAAAAUCCCCCAUCAUUUAAAAGGGCCGCAGCUAUUUGUUUUCUCUGAAAAACUAACUAUGGCUUGAAGAACCUUUGGGAUAUGGUAGCAUCACGACUUGCUUCUGGAUAAGGGAAUAUACAAGGUGGUCCUCGAUUUAUGACCACAAUUGAGCCCAAAAUUUCCAUUGCUAAGCAAAACAGUUGUUAAGAACUGACAGAACGGAGUUUUGGAGUACAUGGAUUAUCUCGGACUGGAGUCAGACUUCCACCCUCUAUGGAGGCAAUAGGAAUAUUUAUUCCCGCAAAAUAGUAAACAAGUAACAGUUUCAAAAUUGGCAUUUUUGUCACUUUUAGACCUCAGAUAACCUAAUAGGAUUCAAGAAAAUGGGAGAAGGAAACAAUAUUUUUUUUCAGUUUCCUGUUAAAAAAUAUAGCUCACAGAAUCGACUUCUAAAACCCUGUACUUCCAAAGAAGAUGAUAGAGUACCUGGAGCAGCAGUUACCCUGGGUGACUCCUUUGGCGCUCGCAUCUUUCCCCCCCCCUAUCGUCUGGAUAAAAUCAAGUCUCCUCGAUGUAUGCAGUUACAAGUCAAAACCAUAUACAUUCUUUUAACAUGAUUAUUAUCUGCAUAAAUCACCAAUCCUCCUUUCUUUCUUUUAAUGAAAUUGCUCAGGCUGUAUUUUCUUGAGCUUAGAUAGAGAUGGGAGAUAAGAGACAUCACAAGCACCCUAGCACACACGCUCACAAAGGCAUUGAUUUUGCUUUCAUUUUUUUUUUUUGAACGGGGGAGGACGGGAAACAAAAACGGGGGAGGGGAGAAAUGAGUGUAAAGAGGUGCUGAAGAAAUAAAACACUGCU